Molecule: ribosomal RNA, 537 nt
Filed under: Coniochaeta sp. CRCF1
Lineage: Eukaryota; Fungi; Ascomycota; Sordariomycetes; Coniochaetales; Coniochaetaceae
Also listed under: 8 other names
Description: eukaryotic LSU rRNA
Rfam family: 5.8S ribosomal RNA (bases 187-340)
Source: RNAcentral
AGGGAUCAUUACAAGAAGCCGAAAGGCUACUUCAAACCAUCGCGAACUCGUCCAAGUUGCUUCGGCGGCGCGGCACCCCUUAACGGGGGCGCCGCAGCCCUGCCUCUCCGGAGGUUCGGGGCGCCCGCCGGAGGUACGAAACUCUGUAUUAUAGUGGCAUCUCUGAGUAUAAAACAAAUAAGUUAAAACUUUCAACAACGGAUCUCUUGGUUCUGGCAUCGAUGAAGAACGCAGCGAAAUGCGAUAAGUAAUGUGAAUUGCAGAAUUCAGUGAAUCAUCGAAUCUUUGAACGCACAUUGCGCCCGGUAGUACUCUACCGGGCAUGCCUGUUCGAGCGUCAUUUCAACCCUCAAGCCCUGCUUGGUGUUGGGGCCCUACGGCUGCCGUAGGCCCUGAAAGGAAGUGGCGGGCUCGCUACAACUCCGAGCGUAGUAAUUCAUUAUCUCGCUAGGGAGGUUGCGGCGUGCUCCUGCCGUUAAAGACCCAUCUUUAACCAAGGUUGACCUCGGAUCAGGUAGGAAUACCCGCUGAACUUAA